Pantherophis guttatus is the source of this 452-nucleotide long non-coding RNA. RefSeq lists it as uncharacterized. Lineage: Eukaryota; Metazoa; Chordata; Lepidosauria; Squamata; Colubridae. The record is from RefSeq and is a predicted model, not a curated record.
UUUGAUAGGAGGAUAAAGGAAGAUGGUCAUCUCCUUGGAAACUCUGAUGGCUUUAUGACUUCAGUUUAGCCUGCAGGCUAAAGUGUCAGUUACUGUCAGUUAUCAGUUAUCAGAGUGAAGAUGCCUCCCAAGAGGCAGGCUGGUCUUCAGAAGGGCUCCUGGACUCUGGGAAACCUUCCCUUUUUUUUUUUUUUUUGUAACCAGUUAUCAGAGGGGUGGCAUCUCUUCCCCUCAUUCCCCACGUUCCUCCACACAUUUCAUUACAGAGGAUGAAGUUAGACUACAUUUUCAAAGAAAGGAACUCAUUAUACCGUACUUAGGAUCUUCCAAGCCAACAGAUCCAUUCUCUGACUGGAGAAUGAAAGCCUGACAACUGCCUUGACCACAUCUUCUGCAACAGCUUAAACUCAAUUUAUGGACUACAAAUAAAAGAACCCUUUUUCCAACAGUGA